UGAGGAAUCUUGCGCAAUGGGGGAAACCCUGACGCAGCAACGCCGCGUGAGGGAGGAAGGUCUUCGGAUCGUAAAGCUCUGUCAGUUGGAAAGAAAUGUCUGAGAGUCAAUCCCUUUCAGGCUUGACGGUACCAACAGUGGAAGCACCGGCUAACUCCGUGCCAGCAGCCGCGGUAAUACGGGGGGUGCAAGCGUUGUUCGGAAUUAUUGGGCGCAAAGAGCGUGUAGGCGGCCGGAUAUGUCAGAUGUGAAAGCCCCGGGCUUAACCCGGGAAGUGCAUUUGAAACUGUCCGGCUCGAGUAGGGGAGAGGGAAGUGGAAUUCCUGGUGUAGAGGUGAAAUUCGUAGAUAUCAGGAGGAACACCGGUGGCGAAGGCGACUUCCUGGCCCUAUACUGACGCUGAGACGCGAGAGCGUGGGUAGCAAACAG
Molecule: ribosomal RNA, 429 nt
Filed under: uncultured bacterium
Lineage: Bacteria
Description: bacterial SSU rRNA
Rfam family: Bacterial small subunit ribosomal RNA
Source: RNAcentral